UAAUAAUAAUCUAAUAAGCGAAGUAGUCGUCGUCUGACUAAUUGGCUCGAACACUAGACCACUUGUGCUCGCCCAUUCUGUCUUGCCCUACCUAAAUGGAAUGGCUCUGUUAGCUAUGCUGCUCCCUGACUUGAGUCCCCACGUCCGCUCUUCUCUGCCCGCAAGCCAAGAAGUUGGCUUUGCCAACACAACAUUAGGG
RNAcentral lists this long non-coding RNA (199 nucleotides) under Eucalyptus grandis. Its description in RNAcentral is "long non-coding RNA (EGRA_LNC003698)". The record is from RNAcentral. Lineage: Eukaryota; Viridiplantae; Streptophyta; Magnoliopsida; Myrtales; Myrtaceae.